AUUUUGAAUAGUGUAUUAUUUAGUUAUCUAGUAGGUAGGAGACAAAUCAUAACACAUCGUUGUCAAUAUAAUGGAAUUUUAUGCGGCUGUCAUACAAUUGAGUGGUUUAGCAAGCUAUAAAACCAGGUUUUAUCCACCAUUUUCUAAUACGUACAUGCAUUUACAAAGUCAGGAAUAUGACAGUUGUUAUUCAUUCAUUUGAUGUGUUUUAGCUUGUAAUUUUUCCAUUUGCUAAAGAACUCUCCGUUUGGAAUUAUCGUCGGAAUUCGGUAUUUUUGUUAUUCUACAUUAUACGAAAAAACAACAGUAGCGUAACAAACAUAUAAAGCAACUACGAAAGGGAAAAACAAUAACUCAUAAAAAGCUCACAAAUCCCUCAUGAAGUACAACAAAGAACGAACUCAAAGAAACAAAUUAUGGGUUAACAAUGGUUCAAAAACUAAUGAAACCUGCUACUCGUAAAAAAAAUUAAAUGUGGCAGUAAUUGCCAGAAUUUUAAUCACAUACCUCACAGACAUACUGUACAAUAGCCAAAAAAGUAGCGUAUGAUAAUUACUCGAUAGAUUACGAAUUAAAUAAAAUAUAAGUACACAAGUAAACAAAAAUGAAUGAACACUGGACAAAACGUCUUAUGUCAGACAAAGCAACAUGAACUUAACCAAAAUUCAAGAAUCAAAUACAAAAAAGAAGAUGUGGUAUAAUUGCCAAUGAGACAACUGUCCACAAGAGACCAAAAUGACACAGACAUUAACAACUAUAGGUCAUCGUACGGCCUUCAACAAUGAACAAAGCCCAUGCGUAUUCCGGAAAGGAUAAGCAGCUCCUACUACGUGUGGAUCAAUAGACCGUAUAGUGACUUCUAGUCGUCUUUUGGUAUUUCAAUAUAUGACGAAUAUCCAUAAAACAAUUAAAAGCUCAUUGCCUUACUAAUUCUCAGACAGCUUUAGCCUGGUUUGUCAUAUCUUUUUGGACUUUUUGGUUUUUCCAACGAAGAUAAGAACGAAC
RNAcentral lists this long non-coding RNA (1005 nucleotides) under Mytilus galloprovincialis (Mediterranean mussel). Lineage: Eukaryota; Metazoa; Mollusca; Bivalvia; Mytilida; Mytilidae. The record is from RNAcentral.